Molecule: ribosomal RNA, 488 nt
Filed under: uncultured bacterium
Lineage: Bacteria
Description: partial 16S ribosomal RNA
Rfam family: Bacterial small subunit ribosomal RNA
Source: RNAcentral
GACGAACGCUGGCGGCGUGCUUAACACAUGCCAGUCGAACGCGCCUGUCCUCUGGGUUUCUGGGGGGUGGGUGAGUGGCGAACGGGUGAGUAACACGUGAGUAACCUGCCCCCUUCUUCGGGAUAACGGUCUGAAAGGGCUGCUAAUACCGGGUAUUCACUCGUCUCCGCAUGGGGUCUGGUGGAAAGGUUUUUUUCUGGUGGGGGAUGGGCUCGCGGCCUAUCAGCUUGUUGGUGGGGUGAUGGCCCACCAAGGCUUUGACGGGUAGCCGGCCUGAGAGGGGGACCGGUCACAUUGGGACGGAGAUACGGCCCAGACUCCGACGGGAGGCAGCAGUGGGGAAUAUUGCACAAUGGGCGCAAGCCUGAUGCAGCGACGCCGCGUGAGGGAUGGAGGCCUUCGGGUUGUGAACCUCGUUCGCCCGUGGUCAAGCCGCGACGUGGGUCGUGGUGAGGGUAGUGGGUAAAGAAGCGCCGGCUAACUACGUG